CGGGGCGUAGCGCAGUCUGGUAGCGCACUUGACUGGGGGUCAAGUGGUCGUAGGUUCAAAUCCUAUCGCCCCGACCA
This 77-nucleotide transfer RNA is filed under the name Pseudomonadota bacterium. RNAcentral's name for it is "Proteobacteria bacterium tRNA-Pro". It matches the Rfam family "tRNA". Rfam says of the family: Transfer RNA (tRNA) molecules are approximately 80 nucleotides in length. RNAcentral also lists the same sequence under 3 other names. The record is from RNAcentral. Lineage: Bacteria; Pseudomonadati; Pseudomonadota.